RNAcentral lists this unclassified non-coding RNA (89 nucleotides) under Pseudomonas thivervalensis. The record is from RNAcentral. Lineage: Bacteria; Pseudomonadati; Pseudomonadota; Gammaproteobacteria; Pseudomonadales; Pseudomonadaceae.
UGUGGGAGCGGGCUUGCUCGCGAAGGCGAUCUUCCUGUCAAUGAAGUAUUGACUGACACACCGCCUUCGCGAGCAAGCCCGCUCCCACA